CGUGAUUUGUAUCCAAUGGUCACUUAGACAUUGAAAAAUUGGAUUAUGAAACUGCGAAACAUAAUUUUGGAAUUGGAUCAAUACUUCUAAUUGAAUAAGUAUGAAUAAAGGAUCCAUGGAUGAAGAUAGAAAGUUGAUUUCUAAUCGUAACUAAAUCUUCAAUUUAUUAUUUGUAAAGAAUAAAUUGAAGCAAAUAGCUAUUAAACGAUGACUUUUGUUUACUAGAGACAUCAACAUAUUAUUUUAGCUCGGUGGAAACAAAAUCCUUUUCCUCAGGAUCCUAUUAAAUAGAAAUAGAGAAUGAAAUAACUAGAAAGGUUGUUAGAAUCCCCUUCUUCUAGAAGGAUCAUCUACAAAGCUAUUCGUUUUAUCUGUAUUCAGAAAUAACUAGAAAGGUUGUUAGAAUCCCCCUCUUCUAGAAGGAUCAUCUACAAAGCUAUUCGUUUUAUAUGUAUUCAGACCAAAAGCUGACAUAUAUAUUAUGGGUAGAAUUCU
This 495-nucleotide long non-coding RNA is filed under the name Nicotiana benthamiana. RNAcentral describes it as "long non-coding RNA (NBEN_LNC037001)". The record is from RNAcentral. Lineage: Eukaryota; Viridiplantae; Streptophyta; Magnoliopsida; Solanales; Solanaceae.